Long non-coding RNA from Hibiscus syriacus, 149 nucleotides. RefSeq lists it as uncharacterized. The transcript has 3 exons. NCBI's taxonomy places the organism in Eukaryota, Viridiplantae, Streptophyta, Magnoliopsida, Malvales, Malvaceae. The record is from RefSeq and is a predicted model, not a curated record.
AAAAUGUUAAAAUGAAGCAAUCAGAGAACAUUGAAGACCAUUAAAUGAUAAAGGAAUUCCACAUCAAAUUCAGCCAUUAAAAAAAUCUUCUCAUUUUGCCUUUCAUACCCCAAAAAACAUGGAACAAAUACCAACCCACCUUUGUAAAC